This 776-nucleotide ribosomal RNA is filed under the name uncultured Neocallimastigales. RNAcentral's name for it is "partial large subunit ribosomal RNA". It matches the Rfam family "Eukaryotic large subunit ribosomal RNA", at positions 20 to 651 of the family's 3401-position model. Lineage: Eukaryota; Fungi; Neocallimastigomycota; Neocallimastigomycetes; Neocallimastigales. The record is from RNAcentral.
UACUAGAGUAGCACUCGCAUAUCAAUAAGCGGAGGAAAAGAAACUAACAAGGAUUCCCCUAGUAACGGCGAGUGAAGCGGGAAGAGCUCAAAUUUGAAAUCUUAAAGGGUCUCCCUUUACGAAUUGUAGUUUAAAGAAGUGUUUUCUGUUGAGGUUUUGGUAAAAGUUCUUUGGAAUAGGACAUCAUAGAGAGUGAGAAUCCCGUAUUUGACCUUUACUUUCAACUUUGUGAUACACUUUCAAAGAGUCGGAUUGUUUGGGAAUGCAGUCCAAAAUGGGUGGUAAAUUUCAUCUAAAGCUAAAUAUUGGCGAGAGACCGAUAGCGAACAAGUACCGUGAGGGAAAGAUGAAAAGAACUUUGAAAAGAGAGUUAAACAGUACGUGAAAUCGUCAAAAGGGAAGCGUUUGAUCACCAGUGUUGUUUCUCUGAAAAUCAAUUAAAGAACUGUUUAUGCUAAGCUGUUUAGACUUUAUCAGCUAACUGUUUAGUUUUGAGCUUUUCUUUAAUGCACUUUUCAGUUAACAAGCUCAACAUCAAUUUCUUUUGCUGUAAAAAAGCUUGAGGAAGGUGGCUUGAGAUUCGUCUUAAGUGUUUAUAGCCUCUUGCCUAUGCAGUCGGAGAGAUUGAGGUCUGCAGCGUAGAUCCUUCGGGGCUAAAUGCAUUUGUGCUAAGUUAUAGCAUUUUAUAGACAACUUGUUGACUAUGAUUUGUCUUGUAGCUUACUCGCUUAUGUUAUUUUACCUACGCUUAGGAUGUUGAGUCAUCACACAUCUCU